UACGUAGGGACCGAGCGUUGUCCGGAAUCAUUGGGCGUAAAGAGCGUGUAGGCGGCCACUUAAGUCCUGCGUGAAAUCCUGCGGCCCAACCGCAGGCGGUCGUGGGAAACUGGGUGGCUAGAGUGCGGGAGAGGAGAGUGGAAUUCCUGGUGUAGCGGUGGAAUGCGCAGAUAUCAGGAAGAACACCCGUGGCGAAGGCGGCUCUCUGGAACGCAACUGACGCUGAGACGCGAAAGCGUGGGGAGCAAACAGG
RNAcentral lists this ribosomal RNA (253 nucleotides) under uncultured bacterium. RNAcentral describes it as "partial 16S ribosomal RNA". It matches the Rfam family "Bacterial small subunit ribosomal RNA", at positions 524 to 776 of the family's 1533-position model. The record is from RNAcentral.